This 465-nucleotide ribosomal RNA is filed under the name uncultured bacterium. Its description in RNAcentral is "bacterial SSU rRNA". It matches the Rfam family "Bacterial small subunit ribosomal RNA", at positions 338 to 795 of the family's 1533-position model. The record is from RNAcentral.
CCUACGGGAGGCACCAGUGGGGAAUAUUGGACAAUGGGGGCAACCCUGAUCCAGCAAUGCCGCGUGUGUGAAGAAGGCCUGAGGGUUGUAAAGCACUUUCAGUGGGGAGGAGGGUAAUUUGGUUAAGAGCUGAGUUAUUGGACGUUACCCGCAGAAGAAGCACCGGCUAACUCCGUGCCAGCAGCCGCGGUAAUACGGAGGUUGCAAGCGUUAAUCGGAAUUACUGGGCGUAAAGCGCACGCAGGCGGUCUGUCAAGUCGGAUGUGAAAUCCCCGGGCUCAACCUGGGAACUGCAUUCGAAACUGGCAGGCUAGAGUCUUGUAGAGGGGGGUAGAAUUCCAGGUGUAGCGGUGAAAUGCGUAGAGAUCUGGAGGAAUACCGGUGGCGAAGGCGGCCCCCUGGACAAAGACUGACGCUCAGGUGUGAAAGCGUGGGGAGCAAACAGGAUUAGAUACCCGGGUAGUC